UCACCACUCUGGCCUUCGGGCUUAGAUCAAGUUCAGUAUCUGUUCUUUUGGCUUUAAUCUGCUAAAUGGGGGUUACGGUCUCGCUACAACGAUUGAUAUAUUUUUGACGUCCUGACUGCCACGCCUCUGCUUGCAUGAGUGGCAGUAAGAUAACCUUGCCAAUUCAGUACAGGCAAGCUUUGUCAGGGAAU
RNAcentral lists this small nuclear RNA (191 nucleotides) under Rhizoctonia solani AG-8 WAC10335. RNAcentral describes it as "U2 spliceosomal RNA". It matches the Rfam family "U2 spliceosomal RNA". From Rfam's summary of the family: U2 is a small nuclear RNA (snRNA) component of the spliceosome (involved in pre-mRNA splicing). Complementary binding between U2 snRNA (in an area lying towards the 5' end but 3' to hairpin I) and the branchpoint sequence (BPS) of the intron results the bulging out of an unpaired adenosine, on the BPS, which initiates a nucleophilic attack at the intronic 5' splice site, thus starting the first of two transesterification reactions that mediate splicing. The record is from Rfam by way of RNAcentral. Lineage: Eukaryota; Fungi; Basidiomycota; Agaricomycetes; Cantharellales; Ceratobasidiaceae.